RNAcentral lists this small nuclear RNA (104 nucleotides) under Chinchilla lanigera (long-tailed chinchilla). The record is from RNAcentral. Lineage: Eukaryota; Metazoa; Chordata; Mammalia; Rodentia; Chinchillidae.
GUGCUUGCUUUGACAGCACAUAUACUAAAAUUGGAAUGAUACAGAGAAUGUUAGCAUAGCUCCUAAGGAUGAUACACAAAUUCUUUGAAGAGUCCAUAUUUUUU